This is a long non-coding RNA of Telopea speciosissima, 161 nucleotides long. RefSeq lists it as uncharacterized. The record is from RefSeq and is a predicted model, not a curated record. The transcript is spliced from 3 exons. Lineage: Eukaryota; Viridiplantae; Streptophyta; Magnoliopsida; Proteales; Proteaceae.
AGAGAGAGAGAGAGGGGAAGGGGGGGGGGGGAAUCGAAGCGAAACAAAGAGCUCGAUCACAAUCGAAUAACUAAAACUGCCCCCUUUUUCCCUCUCAAGAAGAGGUGUUUUUCUAGUUGGCUCUGCCGGGAUUUGGAAAAUUGAGAGAUGAAUCGCUCGCC